UGUGGGAGCGAGCUUGCUCGCGAUAGCGGUGGAUCAGCUUGCAUUGAUGUUGAAUGUGCCGCCAUCGCGAGCAAGCUCGCUCCCACA
RNAcentral lists this non-coding RNA (87 nucleotides) under Pseudomonas fluorescens. Lineage: Bacteria; Pseudomonadati; Pseudomonadota; Gammaproteobacteria; Pseudomonadales; Pseudomonadaceae. The record is from RNAcentral.